This 620-nucleotide ribosomal RNA is filed under the name uncultured eukaryote. RNAcentral's name for it is "eukaryotic LSU rRNA". The stretch from base 183 to 337 matches the Rfam family "5.8S ribosomal RNA". The record is from RNAcentral.
UUCCGUAGGUGAACCUGCGGAAGGAUCACUUUCACGAUUCAAAUCUAAAACCUGAAUUUUAUGGUGAGGCUCGCAAGGGCCUCGUGGGCGUCGGUCGUCUGGCCGGCGUCAGUUGCUAACCCGUUGUAUAACGUCUCUAGAAUUGUUGAUGUGUUUUUGUGAUUUAUCACAAUUUACUUCACAACUUUUAGCGAUGGAUGCCUCGGCUCGGGUAACGAUGAAGGACGCAGCAAAAUGCGAUAAGCGCCGUGAAUGGCAGAAUUCCGCGAAUCAAAAGAAUGCUGAACGCAUACUGCAGUUUCAGGUUACUCCUGGAACUAUGUCUUCUUGAGGGCGAGAACGAUCAAAUGCCAUCAAAGGGUAAAGCGUCGAAAGGCGAGUUAUUCGGUGAUGUGCGUCGUUGUGUGUCAAUGUCUAGCUUCUAACGAGGCCAUUGACGCAUGAAAUUUCUAAGAUUUGAAAACACAAAAGCAUCCGCUUAGUGAUUUUACAAUGAAUACUAGCGGCAUGUUUAGUGUUUUCAACUUUUUUUUUCCCAAAUUUUUCUGAUUAGUUUCAGAGAUUGUUGCUUUUCGCAUCAAGUGAGACAAGGCUACCCGCUGAAUUUAAGCAUAUCAAUA